GGGAAUAUUGCACAAUGGGGGAAACCCUGAUGCAGCAACGCCGCGUGGGUGAAGAAGGUCUUCGGAUCGUAAAACCCUGUUGUUAGAGAAGAACGUGCGUGAGAGUAACGGUUCACGUUUCGACGGUAUCUAACCAGAAAGCCACGGCUAACUACGUGCCAGCAGCCGCGGUAAUACGUAGGUGGCAAGCGUUGUCCGGAUUUAUUGGGCGUAAAGCGAGCGCAGGCGGUUGCUUAAGUCUGAUGUGAAAGCCCCUGGCUCAACCGGGGAGGGUCAUUGGAAACUGGGAGACUUGAGUGCAGAAGAGGAGAGUGGAACUCCAUGUGUAGCGGUGAAAUGCGUAGAUAUAUGGAAGAACACCAGUGGCGAAAGCGGCUCUCUGGUCUGUAACUGACGCUGAGGUUCGAAAGCGUGGGUAGCA
Molecule: ribosomal RNA, 421 nt
Filed under: uncultured bacterium
Lineage: Bacteria
Description: bacterial SSU rRNA
Rfam family: Bacterial small subunit ribosomal RNA
Source: RNAcentral